ACGUAGAGAAAAACAGAGCUAAGACAAACCAAGGCUAACUGCUGAUUUAAGUCCCUAGAUCCAGCUAUUCUUGAAGCCUUCUCAGUUACACAAACCAAUAAUACUUACUUUUUUUACUUAAACUAUUUUCUGUUUCCAUUACUUACAACCAAAAUAGUCCUGAUUAAUACAUAGAAUAAUGUGAAUUUUUAUUUUUAUUCUGAUUUUUAUUCUGACUUUAUAAAAAAGAACUUUUACAAUUAUCCAUUAUGCUUGGAUAAAUGCGUGUGUAAAUAUUUGUUUGGGGUGGAGGAUGUACACUGAAAUGUUAACAUUAGAUUUCUGCGGAGGAUGAGUUGGAAGGAAUGAAGGAGACAUUAAUAUCUUUUUCUGGCAGGGCACGGUGGCUCACACCUGUAAUCCCAGCAUUUUGGAAGGUGGAGGUGGGCGGAUCACCUGAGAUGGACUCAACGACUCUCUUACCGUCCAGCUCUCAAGUCCCUUCUCUUGUGAAAAUGGA
This 499-nucleotide long non-coding RNA is filed under the name Homo sapiens (human). Its description in RNAcentral is "non-protein coding lnc-U2SURP-3:6". Lineage: Eukaryota; Metazoa; Chordata; Mammalia; Primates; Hominidae. The record is from RNAcentral.